Rosa rugosa (rugosa rose) is the source of this 534-nucleotide long non-coding RNA. RefSeq lists it as uncharacterized. The transcript has 2 exons. The record is from RefSeq and is a predicted model, not a curated record. Lineage: Eukaryota; Viridiplantae; Streptophyta; Magnoliopsida; Rosales; Rosaceae.
UUGGGAUAUCCUCACUCGCAUCACUUGAAAUAAGAUUGCCAAAUUGUUGGAGGUCUGAUUCUACUACCAAUAACAACAGAUCUCCCCUCGAAGUUUUUCAAAGAUGGCAAAAUCUGUUGGCUCUACCACAGGUGUUCUUGUGGUUGCUUUCCUUCUGAUUGCUUCAUUUGCAACGACAAUGGUUGAAGGAAAAAGCAAAAGCUGUAAGAAGCCGAGCGAAUCCUUUACGACCCCAUGCAACAAUCACCCAGAAUGCGAUAAAAAAUGCAGAGAAGUAGAGAAAGCACAGUCAGGUGGUCUUUGCCGAAAAGAAGGGGAAGUGAAAAAGUGUUUCUGCUAUAUGUGCUAAAAUUUUGGCUGAAUAUUCACAUCUAGCCUUUUAAUUUUAGUUUUCUAAUGUAAAUACUGUGGUUUGCUACUGAAACUACAAGAACUAAGGAUAUAACUUGGAAAUGUGACACCAAGUUUUUUUUAUUUUUUUUAUUUAUUUUUAAUAGAUUUCUUGUGGAGAAUAAACGAUAGCUUUAUUAUCAA